UGUGAUUAUUGUCUGAGUUACAGACGGCCGAUGGGAAAGUCCUGAAAGACUUUAAGCAAACGCGGAGCCGAGAGCAGAUCACAGCCACGUUACUGAGGUUCACUGGGGGUGAGGUGGACAUUCUGAAAGGUUACCUGGAACAGCUGAGAUCCAUCGAAGAGGCUUUGGGUCGGUCGGUCUUCUUCAAGACGCACGAGGUGAUCGGGAGUUCGCUGCUGUUUGUCCACGAGAGUCUGGGGAAGCCGGAGGUUUGGCUGAUCGACUUUGGGAAGACCACAGCCCUCCCCCAGGGCCAGACCCUGAGGCACGACAUUCCCUGGGAGGAGGGGAACCGAGAGGAUGGAUACCUCCUGGGGCUCCAUAACCUCAUGGACAUCUUCUCCCAGGCCCUGACGCAGAGGCUCACAGACACCGAGACAACCUGAGG
Molecule: long non-coding RNA, 427 nt
Organism: Callorhinchus milii (elephant shark)
Lineage: Eukaryota; Metazoa; Chordata; Chondrichthyes; Chimaeriformes; Callorhinchidae
Exons: 3
Source: RefSeq, a predicted model, not a curated record